GGAUGCGAUCAUACCAGCACUAAAGCAACGGAUCCCAUCAGAACUCCGAAGUUAAGCGUGCUUGGGCGAGAGUAGUACUAGGAUGGGUGACCUCCUGGGAAGUCCUCGUGUUGCAUCCC
RNAcentral lists this ribosomal RNA (119 nucleotides) under Helictotrichon sedenense subsp. sedenense. RNAcentral also lists the same sequence under 1 other name. The record is from RNAcentral. Lineage: Eukaryota; Viridiplantae; Streptophyta; Magnoliopsida; Poales; Poaceae.